Molecule: long non-coding RNA, 532 nt
Organism: Lolium rigidum
Lineage: Eukaryota; Viridiplantae; Streptophyta; Magnoliopsida; Poales; Poaceae
Exons: 2
Source: RefSeq, a predicted model, not a curated record
UUUCUUUCAGCUAGAGAAGCUGGUGCCAUUCUACAUGACAAGAAGGAAACUUAAGGAUUGGAGACCUACGAUCUUGUUUCAUUGUGGAGUGGUUCUUACAGGGAAUCAGAUGUGCUCGCAGACUCUGCAAGAUCUUAUAUACACAACUCUCAUCCUAACCUCCUCACUCGAAGCAUGAUAGCAGUGCAGUGACACACAGAGAAUGGGUUUGCAAUUCGAAUGGGUUUGCAAUGCCAUCACUUGAGAACCGAGAGGUAACUCUGCAUGAAAAUCAAUUGUUCAUAUUCCUUUGAAUUGGAUAUUGCAUUGACAAUAGUUUUUUUUAUUGGCCACUUUAUUUAUGCACCAAAACCUGUGAACAAAACAUGUACUAUAGAGAUUUUAUUUACAUCUUGAGUUAUAUCUGAAAUUGAUUUAGUUUAGGGGUUAUCCCUUAAUGAGGCAUGCAACAAUUUUCUUAGUUAUAUGGUGGAAAGGGUGCAUUGUGGAACGAUCCAUUCAAGAAAAUAAUGUUUGUGUUCUUUGUGCAACA